UACGUAGGGGGCAAGCGUUGUCCGGAAUCAUUGGGCGUAAAGCGCGUGUAGGCGGCUUGGUAAGUCCGCUCUGAAAGCCCGGGGGCUCAACCCCGGGAGGCGGGUGGAUACUGUCAAGCUCGAGUCCGGAAGAGGCGAGUGGAAUUCCUGGUGUAGCGGUGAAAAUGCGCAGAUAUCAGGAGGAACACCAAUGGCGAAGGCAGCUCGCUGGGACGUGACUGACGCUGAGACGCGAAAGCGUGGGGAGCAAACAGG
RNAcentral lists this ribosomal RNA (255 nucleotides) under uncultured bacterium. RNAcentral's name for it is "partial 16S ribosomal RNA". It matches the Rfam family "Bacterial small subunit ribosomal RNA", at positions 524 to 776 of the family's 1533-position model. The record is from RNAcentral.